UUUAAAUGGCCGCAGUAUUUUGACUGUGCAAAGGUAGCAUAAUCAUUAGUUUUUUAAUUGAAAGCUUGUAUGAAUGGUUUGACAAAGUAUUUACUGUCUCAAUAAAAAUUAAAUUAGAACUUUAUUUUUUAAUUAAAAAGUUAAAAUAUAAUUGGAGGACGAGAAGACCCUAUAGAUCUUUAUAUUUUAUUGGGGUGAUAAUAAAAUUUAAAAAACUUUUAUUUUAUAAAACAUUAAUUUAUGAUUAUUUGAUCCAUUAUUUAUGAUUAAAAAUUUAAGUUACCUUAGGGAUAACAGCGUUA
Molecule: ribosomal RNA, 302 nt
Filed under: Chelonus sp. 4 NM-2007
Lineage: Eukaryota; Metazoa; Arthropoda; Insecta; Hymenoptera; Braconidae
Description: partial 16S ribosomal RNA
Source: RNAcentral